CGAGGGGUGCAAGCGUUGCUCGGAAUUAUUGGGCGUAAAGGGUAGGUAGGUGGUCUCGUUUGUCAGGGGUGAAAUCCUUGGGCUUAACCCAAGAAGUGCCCCUGAAACGGCGAGACUCGAGUUCUGGAGAGGGUCGUGGAAUUCCCGGUGUAGCGGUGAAAUGCGUAGAGAUCGGGGAGGAACACCAGAGGCGAAGGCGGCGACCUGGACAGAUACUGACACUCAACUACGAAAGCGUGGGGAGCAAACAGGAUUAGAUACCCUGGUAGUCCACGCUGUAAACGAUGGACACUAGACUUGGCGGGACUUGACCCCUGCCGAGUCGGAGCUAACGCAAUAAGUGUCCCGCCUGGGAAGUACGGUCGCAAGACUA
This 373-nucleotide ribosomal RNA is filed under the name uncultured organism. RNAcentral describes it as "bacterial SSU rRNA". It matches the Rfam family "Bacterial small subunit ribosomal RNA", at positions 526 to 896 of the family's 1533-position model. The record is from RNAcentral.